UACGUAGGGUGCAAGCGUUAAUCGGAAUUACUGGGCGUAAAGCGUGCGCAGGCGGCUAUGCAAGACAGAUGUGAAAUCCCCGGGCUCAACCUGGGAACUGCAUUUGUGACUGCAUAGCUAGAGUACGGUAGAGGGGGAUGGAAUUCCGCGUGUAGCAGUGAAAUGCGUAGAGAUCCGGAGGAACACCAGUGGCGAAGGCGACACGCUGGGCCGUACCUGACACUGAUGCGCGACAGCAUGGGGAGCAAACAGG
RNAcentral lists this ribosomal RNA (253 nucleotides) under uncultured bacterium. RNAcentral describes it as "partial 16S ribosomal RNA". It matches the Rfam family "Bacterial small subunit ribosomal RNA", at positions 524 to 776 of the family's 1533-position model. The record is from RNAcentral.